AUUUGAAUGUAAAAAUCAAGAGGUUUUAAAAUCAUGAACAUUAUGACCCUAUCGAGGUUCCAAAGAAAAAAAAGAAUUUUUUCUUCAUUGUAUGAAAUCUCUCUCUUCUUCCGUUUCCCCCUCAAAUGGAGGAGACUCACUCAAUUAAAACCCAAACGUUCUCUCUCUUCAUCCUCACUUUCUUUCUCUUCUUCACACCUUCUCUACCCCACAGACAACAACCUCAUUUCUUGUGGCUCCAUCGUUGACAACCGUCGUUUUAUCUUCGAUUCCCAUCCAAAUUCGCCACUUCUCUCCUCAACGGAAACGAUUCCGCUCACCAACCAGAACCCGUCUCCCAAUUAUUCCCAAAUCUACAACACUGCAACACUGCAAGAGUUUUCAAAAUAUGCUUUUGAGGUCAAGGAACCGGGGACCCGUAUGAGCCAUUCUUGGUUGGAUCUCGAAUCUAUUCAAAAGGUGAUCCAUGGAGUACAACACGGAAGGAUCCGACCCGAACCUGAUCAACCAUAGUAAUUAAGCAUGAUAUGCUUGUAUGAACAAGUCAUUAACACUUGCAGGUUACUUCAGAAAUUUGGAGAAGAGUAGCAGACCCCAAUACAAAUUUCUGGUAAAUAAUAGCAUUAGAAAAGAAGAAACGAUCAAGAACAUUUAUGACUGGUGAGGAGAGGAUUUUUCAGCAGAGAAAAAAAACGUGACAGACCAGUGAACAGCAACUAACCAGAGGCAAAGCUCACCAUUCUGAUUCUACAGGCAUCGGCAUGCACAAGAGAAUUGGGAUAGCUGUCAACCCAACUACUGGAUGCUGACGAAAGUGCAUGCGUACUCUUGUUAGCUAUCCUCUGGGCAGCUAGAAGAGACUUUUGUGUUUACUUGACCGAAGAAAAACCUUAUUUUAUUGACAGUUUCAACCAAUAAGUCAAAUAUGAUAUUCAAUUCAAUUACAGAUUGCUACAUAGCAGAGAAAUAAUGCUUGUAUAAAGAAAAGUAUAAAAUCGCUCUGUGGUAGUAGGAAGUAACUCUAAGAAGGUGAAAGGGGGCUCGGGUGGUUCUGUAAAAUCCCAAACCGCCUCUCCAUGCUGGACAGGUAAAAAGGUAAAACUUAAAUAUACUAGAAGGGGAGAACUGCUGCUUUUAUUGCCGCGGGUGGGGGGGUGGAACCAAAAAGUGCAUUAAGAGAUAUCCAGAGAAAACUCUUGUGGUAUUGAUCUAUAAUUCAAAAAUUGUAAUAAAAAUCCCGGAGCCUACAAAAAGUUUCCAAGUCUAUUGCUCGAACUGAGGUUGCAGAAGCAAAUCUAUCGAAGUUGAGAUAGAGAUAGGUUCUUAUUUUGAUUGGAACUGAUCCAAGUUGAGACAGGUUCUUAUUUUGAUUGAACUGGUCCAAGGCAUGUAACAAUUAUAAUAAACCAC
Populus euphratica (Euphrates poplar) is the source of this 1410-nucleotide long non-coding RNA. RefSeq lists it as uncharacterized. Lineage: Eukaryota; Viridiplantae; Streptophyta; Magnoliopsida; Malpighiales; Salicaceae. The record is from RefSeq and is a predicted model, not a curated record. The transcript is spliced from 2 exons.